GGCCAGGUGGGGAGGAGCGCGCCUGGCCGGGCUGCGGGAGGACCAGCGGGGGCAAGCGCUGGGUGCAGGUCCGGCCCCCUACAGGGAGAAGCGGGGGCCGCAGAGCAGCGGAGAGUGGGUCGGUCCGUGCCUAGCCUAGGUCGGCGGCUCCGGACUAGCCGCCCUGCGCCCGCUCUCAGGAUCCCUCUCAGCUCUCCAGCUUGCUAAGUCCCCAGGAGAGAGCCAAGCAACGCUUUUGCAGGUGGAGGAUGGCUGCGGGACCUCCCGCGCCCUCUCUGGGAGGGAGACGCGGCUCAGACCUGUUCCUGGCGAAGAGGCGGCUCAGCCCCUGGCUUUUUCAGGCGUGUGCACAGGAGCUGAGGCCCCAGGACCUGCCACUUGUGUCCUUCUAAGACCUCGCGGGGGCGUUCCCUGCGUUCUACAGGAGGGCACACAGCACGCCCAGAUCCAUGCAGCACAAGGCCUGGACACCUAGCUUCAGCCACCCUCCCGCAUCUGGAACUCGGCCCGGGUCUCUGGAGUCCACUGGCCCCUUGCUCACGGAUCCCCCCAGACAUCCUCACCCGCUGUGGUGCAGUCCAGCCUUGCUUCCUGGGCUUCCAGCCUCUGGUCCUUGCCCUUCAGCAUUUCCAAAUCUGCCCUCUCCACUCAGCUGAUUCCAGCUGGAAUCAGUUGGCCCUCUCUCAUUUAUCCCACUUCUUUCCUCUGCUUGAGUUUGACUCCAAUAGCCCCCAAAACAGGAUUUGCACCAAAGCUGCUACACUGAAUUUAGAUCUCCACACGCCCCUGUUUUGUUUUAUUUUGUUUUGUUUUGUUUUAAUUGCAUUAACUAAGUAUACACCUUGCAGUCAGCUGGGCAGUUUGCAGGGAAAUGAUGUCUCCACCACCCUCCCCUCCACUGGGUUUCAGUCAGGGGCUUCUCCGGGCAUUUUCAAAGCACCAAAAAGUUGGGCCACCAAUAAAAUGACAUAGUGGGUUCUCUUUAACCGAAAAAGCAUGGUGGGGAGGUGGUUACUGAACUCCUUUGCAAGUUUUCUCAAAAUGACAGGGAGUUUGGCUCACUGUGCCUUCUCUUGGAAGAAUGUCACCUCCUGUCUUCUGAAAGACUAGCAUAGAAUGACCCUGUUCCAGCAAAAAAUGAACCAGGCCGACAUUGACCCAGCAUAUCCAGGAGUAUGCCAGCCCUCGGAGACUCACUGAAUCGCGGGCUGUAUUAUGUCCCAAACCCACCUGGACAAGGUGUGAGAUUGUUUAGUCUAAAUGCAUCAGAGCCAUCGGAACGAGGUUCCCAAAAUACGGCAGUGUGGCAUGUGGGACCCACCACCACUGUGUGAGCCUCUAAAACACAAGCAUUGGUGUGUGAGAACUAAUGAUGGCUGACAUCUGAUGCCUACAAUAUACCCACUAAGCUUGUCUUUUCUAAAGUCACCUCCUCACAGAUGCUCAAAGCAUGCCUAGCAUCUCGCAGACAAUCUGGGAAUAGUUGCUAAACCACUGGAGUGACUGAUCUCCUGUAACUCUAUCUCUAGGUGAUACUAGGAGGCCCACACAACAGAGGGAGGGACUAAGGCCCAAAGCGAUUAAACCAGAUGCCCACAGUAGAGCACCAAGGGACGCUACACAGUUGGCAUUUGACCCAAGAAAUGUGACUCCUGGGUCUGUGUUGUAACCACUGCAGGUAGUGCCUGCCUAAAAUAGGCCUCCAGACUCCCCGUCCAUCUGAUGUUACAUGAUGUAUUUGGUUUUUGCCUAUCUCCGCACAUUGAACGGUAAACUCCAGGGCAGAAAGGGGCCUUGACUCAUGCAGCAUCUCCCAGCACCUACAGCAGCAAGAAGUAUGAGAAACACCCAAAAACUAUGUACAGGCUGUUUUGAUGAACUUACUAAACUCUUACGCAAGACCUUUGGUGUGACACCAAGGGAGGAAAGAAAUGCAUACAACACGGACAGACAAUGGAGUUUCUGCUGUCAGGACCACACAGAGGGAUUGGGAUAUUUCUCGGCACUAAAUCAGAAUUGGAAAGGACCCUUCCAGCAGGCCUGCCGAGGUCCAAGAGGCUGAGGCUCAGAGAGGUUAAGGUCUUUGUCCCAAGGUCACAUGGUCAGCAAAUGGGAAAGCCAGGGCUGGGUGCAGAAAUCCAGACUCCUAACCUCUGCUUUCCUGCCUGCCCACCCCCACUGCAUCCCACCAAGGCACCUCCCAGCAAGCAUCAGGGCUGGGAGCCUAGGACAAGGGCCUGGUAGGAGGAUAGGUCACAGACACCUUCCUGCAAGAGUUGGGGUUGUUCAGACACAUUUAAAUUUGAUUUUAAACAAGAGAGACAGAACAAAACAAACAGAAAAAAACACCUUCGUGAAAAGAGACAAAAUCUAGACAGAAAAGUCCAUUUUAGAAUCUAUCUCCAGUCUCUGUAAAAUAUUGCCUGUCACCAGAAUAUUUGAGUCCAGUCCUCAGGGGAGAUUCACUCUGGCUGCUAUUCCAGGCUUUACUUAACAGAGACUGCCCCCUGUUUGUCACAAGGAGAGUGCAGGGAGCCUGCUUGGGAAAGAAGCCAACCUGAUAGACCAACCCUUUGUGGCUUAUUUGCCAGAUCCCAAACUUUAAACCUGCUAUCCCUGUGAACUUCAACCAAACCAAAUUCCCUUGCUGUUCCCGCCUGGAACAUUGCCCACACCCGUUUCCCAAGCCUUUGAAAAAUAGGUACAAGAAGGGGGGAAUCAGGUUCAUUUUCCUCUCUAAAGGAAGAAAGCCACUCUCCUCUGGGUAUGUCAACUCAGUAAAUAGAGUCACUGCCUCCUAAUAGAAGUGUGAUUAUUGACAACAUUUAGAACAUGUGGUUGAGAAACCAUUUCUGUAAGGGUUCCUGGUGGGGAGGGGUGCGGGGUGUGUGUGUGUGUGUGUGUGUAGGGAUGGUGGUGGCUAUUCACUUCCUAAUUGAAACACUUGUCAAGUUCAUAGAAGAUGAAAAUUAUCAUCAAAGACCACCCCCACCACUACCCAAAUGAAUUCCUCCAAAUGUGUUGAAAUUAACAUGCAGCUCUGCAGGAAAGUGCUUUCUAUGAAAGAGAUGAUGACAUUAUUAUUUACAACACAGGCACUUUUAGUAUCUAAGGAAGAAUCUCGUUGGCUCUAGGCUUAAUUAUGUCAGUCUGCAGCACAAUUUGCAAGGAACCUGCAACCAUACUCCCCAAUAAUUAAGGGGAAGGAGCAAUGUUACAAAGGAGGUUUGCUCACCAGGACUCGGAGCCCACGUCAGUCUAUAUGCAACUCCACAAAUUAGACUUUGUGUUGUGGCCCUCACCGGAAGGCAUUGAUUAUUAAUAGUCUUCAUAGGGUGACUCUUAGGGUUUCAAAAAGGUUUCAUAGCAACUGUUAGCCUUGCGAAAAAAGAAAAGAGAUGACACACAAGCUGUUGGUUGGAAACCUUAAGAACUGCCUGGGGGCUGGGGGAGAUCAAAACUGGACCCCCAAAUACAGAGGGCAAGGAGAGACCAAAGGAGGAGGCAGAUGUCUCCAGAUGGGUGGAUGGUGGGGGUAAUAAGCAAGGGAACUUACAAGACCCGCCCUGGACCCUGCAAGGCAAGUGGAUCUCUCCACCUGCCUGCCAGAAACUUACAAGUUUAUAUUACACACAACCCGCAAUAGGGGUCAAUAGUAUAUCGUCCAGAUGGUCUCAGCAGCACUUUGCUCUCUCAAGGCUGCAUCCUUGAAGCAGACUCCUCGUGCCAGAACAGUGUUUGGAAUAUACAUUGCAAGGACAGGGGAGGAGGUGAUGAGCCUCCGAUUGCCCACCGCCAGCUCAGGGGUCAACUGAAGGUCAUGUCCCCUCGAUGACUUUCUCCAACAGAAGCCAAAAUGUGGCCAGCACCUUGCCAUGCUGGGGCAACACGCUGGUUUGAUAUAUUUUAUUCUCUUGUUCUGAAAAGAGAAAGGAAACUACAAGGGAAGUGAAGUGGGUCUAAAUUUUGGUUCCCCCAGACUACAAGUAGUAGGUGAGAUGAUUUUUUGUGGUACCCAAACAUGUUUUGUAAAUAAUUUUAUAUUUAUUGUUAAUGUGUGUCAGAAAAAAAUUAAUGACACAUCAAACACUUGGCUUCAGGGGAAAAACAUUUAAGGUGCACAUGAAUUUAAAGUCCAUUUAAGAAGAAUAAUAAAUACAUUAUAGUAUUUAUUAAUAAAGUAAACAUGCAGAAAA
Molecule: long non-coding RNA, 4196 nt
Organism: Felis catus (domestic cat)
Lineage: Eukaryota; Metazoa; Chordata; Mammalia; Carnivora; Felidae
Exons: 3
Source: RefSeq, a predicted model, not a curated record